Podarcis lilfordi (Lilford's wall lizard) is the source of this 75-nucleotide non-coding RNA. The record is from the annotation of a GenBank genome assembly. Lineage: Eukaryota; Metazoa; Chordata; Lepidosauria; Squamata; Lacertidae.
AGGUGGCCUGUAACUCAGUGGUAGAGCAUCUGUUUUGCAAGUAGAAAGUCCCAGGUACAUUUCCUGGCACAUCCA